CGUAGGGUGCGAGCGUUAAUCGGAAUUACUGGGCGUAAAGCGUGCGCAGGCGGUUUUGUAAGACAGAUGUGAAAUCCCCGGGCUCAACCUGGGACCAGCAUUUGUGACUGCAAGGCUAGAGUACGGUAGAGGGGGAUGGAAUUCCGCGUGUAGCAGUGAAAUGCGUAGAUAUGCGGAGGAACACCGAUGGCGAAGGCAAUCCCCUGGACCUGUACUGACGCUCAUGCACGAAAGCGUGGGGAGCAAACAGGAUUAGAUACCCUGGUAGUCCACGCCCUAAACGAUGUCAACUGGUUGUUGGGUCUUUACUGACUCAGUAACGAAGCUAACGCGUGAAGUUGACCGCCUGGGGAGUACGGCCGCAAGGUUG
Molecule: ribosomal RNA, 370 nt
Filed under: uncultured organism
Description: bacterial SSU rRNA
Rfam family: Bacterial small subunit ribosomal RNA
Source: RNAcentral